UCCUCAACGACACUGUCUCACUCCUCCCCCUCCUCCUCCUCCUCCUCCUCCUCCGCCACCCCAACCCCGAAUCGAACCCGAACCCGAACCCAACCCCCAACCCGCUUCGAGUUCUUCUCCCACGGAUUAUAUGGAACUGCUCGCCAUGAUGGUCGGAGAACCCGAUAUGAGCUUGGAGAACAUGGAUAUUCUGGAGGUCGCCGCGAUGAGGGGGAUCAAGUUCGAUCCUCCUCGCUGGCAUCGCCCUGGCGGCUAUGAGCGAAAGCCAAAGGGCGAACAAGGUGCUUGACGAAAUGCUUCGGUGGAGAAAAACGUUUGGGUUUUGGGUGAUUAUGUUAAGCUGGGAAGUUGUCUUUAUGUAAAUGAGUAUGGAUGACUGUAUGUUUGAUGAAAUGGCUCAAAAAACUCGACCUUUUGCUGUAAUGUGGAGUUUAGACAUGAACUGUGGCUUUGUUUUUAUGUAGUGUUAAGCUUUUGGAGCCUGAUGAGCUAUUGAACUCUUUGUUUUGCUCAAAUGUUGCUCUUUUUAGUACUCUUGACUGUAAAUAAGCAAGUUUAUU
Molecule: long non-coding RNA, 560 nt
Organism: Asparagus officinalis (garden asparagus)
Lineage: Eukaryota; Viridiplantae; Streptophyta; Magnoliopsida; Asparagales; Asparagaceae
Exons: 2
Source: RefSeq, a predicted model, not a curated record